UUGUAUGGUUCCAASGUAGAUUUCAUAGAUUUUUCUCUGUAGAGUUAUUCAGAUCCUUAUAUAGAUAUAAUUCUUCGAUUAACCAUUGUCUUGACCGUAUCUCCCAUGGGUAUUAUAUAUUAUAUAUCCAUACCCGGACCCAUAGGCGUCUUUGCUCUCGUUCGCAAUGGCAAGGAUUUUUCUUAUCGACGAUCUUAGUGGCGUUUUAAAAAGAAUACGAUAGGUUGCUGUAACAUCUUCUUGUGCAUGUACGAUAGGCUAUAAACCGCAAUAACAAAAGAAACUAUCUUACAAGGUGCAAUAUGCUUGGAUGUAAACACAAGGGAGUUGAAUGUAUAAGAUGAAUCAAGAUGAAGAUGAUUCUGGAUUGGCUGAAGCAGGACAAGCUUCUCUUUAUUUACAAUUCUAUCACCACAAUGAUAUGGCCUUUUUUCUAUAUUUAAAAUUUGAAAACUAAUUAAAAAAUUAAAGC
Molecule: long non-coding RNA, 472 nt
Organism: Actinia tenebrosa (Australian red waratah sea anemone)
Lineage: Eukaryota; Metazoa; Cnidaria; Anthozoa; Actiniaria; Actiniidae
Source: RefSeq, a predicted model, not a curated record